UACGUAGGGAGCAAGCGUUACCCGGAAUCACUGGGUGUAAAGGGUGUGCAGGCGGUUUAGCAAGUCGAAUGUCAAAGCCCACGGCUUAACCGUGGAAAGGCAUUCGAUACUGCUAAACUAGAGGACGGAAGAGGGAAGUGGAAUUCCCGGUGUAGCGGUGAAAUGCGUAGAUAUAGGGAGGAACACCGGUUGCGAAGGCGGCUACCUGGCCGGUAACUGACGCUGAGGUGCGAGAGCGUGGGGAGCAAACAGG
This 253-nucleotide ribosomal RNA is filed under the name uncultured microorganism. RNAcentral describes it as "partial 16S ribosomal RNA". It matches the Rfam family "Bacterial small subunit ribosomal RNA", at positions 524 to 776 of the family's 1533-position model. The record is from RNAcentral.